RNAcentral lists this ribosomal RNA (484 nucleotides) under uncultured bacterium. RNAcentral's name for it is "partial 16S ribosomal RNA". It matches the Rfam family "Bacterial small subunit ribosomal RNA", at positions 30 to 507 of the family's 1533-position model. The record is from RNAcentral.
AUUGAACGCUGGCGGCAUGCUUUACACAUGCAAGUCGAACGGCAGCGCGGGCUUCGGCCUGGCGGCGAGUGGCGAACGGGUGAGUAAUACAUCGGAACGUCCCCAGUAUUGGGGUAUGGCUCGGCGAAAGCCGGAUGAAUACCGCAUACGACCUGAGGCUGAAGGCGGGGGAGCUUCGGACCUCUCGCUAUUGGAGGGGCCGAUGGCAGAUUAGCUAGUUUGUGGGGUAAAGGCCUACCAAGGCGACGAUCUGUAGCUGGUCUGAGAGGACGACCAGCCACACUGGGACUGAGACACGGCCCAGACUCCUACGGGAGGCAGCAGUGGGGAAUUUUGGACAAUGGGCGAAAGCCUGAUCCAGCAAUGCCGCGUGUGUGAUGAAGGCCUUCGGGUUGUAAAGCACUUUUGGCGGGAACGAAAAGCACUGUGCCAAUACCACGGUUCGAUGACGGUACCCGCAGAAUAAGCACCGGCUAACUACGUG